RNAcentral lists this long non-coding RNA (272 nucleotides) under Lupinus angustifolius (narrow-leaved blue lupine). RNAcentral describes it as "long non-coding RNA (LANG_LNC000520)". The record is from RNAcentral. Lineage: Eukaryota; Viridiplantae; Streptophyta; Magnoliopsida; Fabales; Fabaceae.
CCCCCAAAAAAAAAUCUUAUAAAGCUCUCACUUUGUAGCAACUCUUCCUUUAAUAAUGCUUCCUUCUGGUUUGGAGUCCUUAAUUUUAUAUUCAACCAAUUUGGCUAGGCACAAUGCUUCUAUAAUAUGAGUGAGCUGUAAGAUAGCUAGUUCUCUCCUAAUUUCCGGUAAUAGUCCAAAGCGGAAGCAAUUUAAAAUUACCUCUGGUGAGAGUCUCCAAAUUCUGUUACAAAUCUUCUCUAAUUGUUAUUGAUACUCUACCACUGAACCAG